AAGAGGUCCAGCCUGCCCAGUGACAAAGUUCAACGGCCGCGGUACCCUAACCGUGCGAAGGUAGCAUAAUCACUUGUCCUUUAAAUAGGGACUAGUAUCAACGGCAUCACGAGGGCUAUACUGUCUCCUUUCUCCAAUCAGUGAAACUGAUCUCCCCGUGAAGAAGCGGGGAUUAAACUAUAAGACGAGAAGACCCCAUGGAGCUUUAAACUCAUCAUACACCUUUAUGACCUCACACCAACUGACCAAAAAGACCUGUAUGCUAGUUUUAGGUUGGGGGGACCACGGAGUACAAUUUAACCUCCACAACAAAUGGGCUAAUACCCUUAUCCACGAGAUACACCUCUAAGAAUUACUAAACUAAUGUUUAAUGACCCAAUAAUUUGAUCAAUGAACCAAGUUACCCUGGGGAUAACAGCGCAAUCUACUUCAAGAGCCCCUAUCGACAAGUAGGUUUACGACCUCGAUGUUGGAUCAGGGUAUCCUAGUGGUGCAGCCGCUACUAACGGUUCGUUUGUUCAACGAUUAAAACCCU
This 535-nucleotide ribosomal RNA is filed under the name Lithobates sylvaticus (wood frog). RNAcentral describes it as "partial 16S ribosomal RNA". It matches the Rfam family "Bacterial large subunit ribosomal RNA", at positions 1847 to 2597 of the family's 2925-position model. Lineage: Eukaryota; Metazoa; Chordata; Amphibia; Anura; Ranidae. The record is from RNAcentral.